This 439-nucleotide ribosomal RNA is filed under the name uncultured bacterium. RNAcentral describes it as "bacterial SSU rRNA". It matches the Rfam family "Bacterial small subunit ribosomal RNA", at positions 340 to 773 of the family's 1533-position model. The record is from RNAcentral.
UACGGAAGGCAGCAGUGGGGAAUAUUGCACAAUGGGCGCAAGCCUGAUGCAGCCAUGCCGCGUGUAUGAAGAAGGCCUUCGGGUUGUAAAGUACUUUCAGUCGUGAGGAAGGUGUUAAGGUUAAUAACCUUAGCAAUUGACGUUAGCGACAGAAGAAGCACCGGCUAACUCCGUGCCAGCAGCCGCGGUAAUACGGAGGGUGCGAGCGUUAAUCGGAAUUACUGGGCGUAAAGGGCACGCAGGCGGUUAAUUAAGUUGGAUGUGAAAUCCCCGGGCUUAACCUGGGAAUGGCAUUCAAGACUGGUUAGCUAGAGUCUUGUAGAGGGGGUAGAAUUCCAUGUGUAGCGGUGAAAUGCGUAGAGAUGUGGAGGAAUACCGGUGGCGAAGGCGGCCCCUGGACAAAGACUGACGCUCAUGUGCGAAAGCGUGGGGAGCGAAA